Molecule: non-coding RNA, 261 nt
Filed under: Sediminibacillus halophilus
Lineage: Bacteria; Bacillati; Bacillota; Bacilli; Caryophanales; Bacillaceae
Description: T-box sequence
Rfam family: T-box leader
About the family: Uncharged tRNA acts as the effector for transcription antitermination of genes in the T-box leader family. T-boxes are found upstream of many aminoacyl-tRNA synthetase genes and some amino acid biosynthetic genes usually in Gram-positive bacteria. The anticodon of a specific tRNA base pairs to a specifier sequence within the T-box motif, and the NCCA acceptor tail of the tRNA base pairs to a conserved bulge in the T-box antiterminator hairpin.
Source: RNAcentral
AAAAAUGCGAUGAAGAGAAGAGUAAAUGAAAUCAAAUCAUAACAGAGAGCUCCAAAUGCUGAAAAGGAGCAUGAUUUAUUUCAUUGAAACAAGCCUCAGAGCAUCACGUUGGAUUCCGGUAGAUGAUGGCGUGACAGGUGCUCCUGUUAUAGAGCUAAAGUAUAAGCAAUUUUUUGCCGUACUUAAAGAGGUUAAUAUGGUGACAUAUUGACAAACUGGGGUGGCACCGCGAUUAUAAAAUAUCCAAAACUCGCCCCCAAG